UACGUAGGGGGCUAGCGUUGUCCGGAAUCAUUGGGCGUAAAGAGCGUGUAGGCGGCUUGGUAAGUCCGCUGUGAAAGUCCAGGGCUUAACCCUGGAAAGCCAGUGGAAACUGUCAAGCUAGAGUCCGGAAGAGGUGAGUGGAACUCCUGGUGUAGCGGUGAAAUGCGCAGAUAUCAGGAAGAACACCAAUGGCGAAGGCAGCUCACUGGGACGGUACUGACGCUGAGACGCGAAAGCGUGGGGAGCAAAAGGG
RNAcentral lists this ribosomal RNA (253 nucleotides) under uncultured bacterium. RNAcentral's name for it is "partial 16S ribosomal RNA". It matches the Rfam family "Bacterial small subunit ribosomal RNA", at positions 524 to 776 of the family's 1533-position model. The record is from RNAcentral.